GUCUAAGCGCUUGGUUGGGUCCGAGAGAGAACGGAGACGCGCGCACCACGGAGAAGGACAAGGUCGGCCCCGGUGAGAUCCAACCAAGCUUCACUGGGGCGUCUAGGGCUUGCUUUUUGCGACUUCGAUGCAAACAGAGGCUACGGCUUUGGAGGGGAAACUUUAUAGGACGUUGGUUGGCGAAAAAGGCAAGGAGAUCCCGCUGCUUUCGCGAUUGGAAACGGCUGCACAGAGCCCACGUCGAACACGGCGGGAGGUAGGGGAAAGGGGCGCGGCUGACGGGUGGGCCCCGGCCGUCAGCGGGCCAUGGAGGGGGAAACGGGUGAGCGCGCACGCGGCCUGGCCGCUGGACCUUUCUCGGGCCGAGAGCGGAAGUGGGCCGGGGUGAGGGGGUGAACUGGCUGGGCGCUGGCUUUCUGUUUUUUUUCUUUUCUGUUUUCUUUUUCCUAUUUCUCCUUUGUUUUCUAAAGUCUUUUUGAUAAGAGAUUUUAAAUCCUUAUGGGAGAAAUACAAAAUACAUAGACAAAAGCAAGCAAGCAAGUAAAUAAAUAAAUUAAUCGCAGCAUGAAUGCACCACCAUGUUUCUAAACUUAUAAUGAAUUGUAUAUUUUGACCAAAACUAUUUUAUUUACUAAAUUAAAUGCUCACCAAAAAUGCUUAAUUAAAUCGAAUUAAUUCCUAUUAAUUGAAAACAAAUUUUUGGAUCUUACAAAUUCUACCCCCCUUAAAAGAAUCUCGUCCUCGAGAUUGAAAGGUGCUUACUCAAACAGGUAUGAGUAUGAUUUCCUCAUAUCAUCCUCUCUUUCCCAAGUUGCCUCUGCUUCCGAAUACCGAUUCCAGUGUACUAGCAAAUUUAAUGUCUCUAGUCGAGUAACAUACCUGGUAACUUAUCUGAAAAUUUAUCCCCUACCCAGUCCUGAAGAUCAACACCAUCAUCCAGCUGAUUCACUGUAGCUGUGGGUGGAGCCUGCACUGCUACAUCCACACUGAUUCUCUCCCCCUUGGGUGUUGUCACCACUACUACUUUUUCUUUACACUUAAUUUCCGUAGCAUAUUUCUUCAUCCAAUCCAAACCCAAUAUCACAUCUAUGCCUGAGGUUCUCAUAACCAUGGGACUAACAGGGAAAUCUACCCCCCUUAAAGAAAGACUUGCUGAGGGGCAACAAUAUGAAACUGGUAUAGUCCCUCCCGGUGAGUUUACUAGCAUAUGGGUUUUCAGGGCAACUAGUGGUAUGCUAUGAGCUCUAACAAAUGCUUGUGAUAUGAAUGUAUGCGAAGCUCCAGAAUCAAAUAAAACUGUAGCGGGAAUAGAGUUGAUACUGAACGUACCCAUCAUAAUCUCCGGUCCCUCUUGUACUGUCUCUGCAGCCACAUGGUUCACCUUUGCUCCAUGAGAAUUAGACUUUUGGUUGUUGUUCUGCUGGUUGAAUCUCUCCGGGCAAUCAUAUGACAUAUGACCUUCUUUCCCACAGCGAAAACACCUAGUAGGGGUAUUGGAAGCACUUCUCUUCAUAGAGCUGGCAUUUGAAUUUCCUGAGCGGUGAAUCUGCUGACCACUCUGCUGUUGAUUAGGAUCACGCUGAGGUUGUUGGUUGCGAUCCCGUUGACUAACUGGUCCAUGGUACCUCUGUUGAUCGCCCUGCUGAGAAUUGAAACGUUGGCGGUUGUUGCCUCCAGAACCUUGGGCUAGCAUCCUUCUCUUCUUGUCUUGGCCUUUUCGCAUGUUAUCCAACACAAUAGCACGGUUCACCAGAGCCUAGAAGGUAGGAUAUGUGUUUCCAGCUAGUUGCAAUCUGAGUUCAUAGUAAAGACCUUUCAUGAAGAGACGUUUUUUGUCAGCAUCCUCUCUAACUUCGUUUGGGGCAUAGCGAGCCAACUGCUCAAACAUGUCAUGAUACUCAGCCACAGACAUAGAACCCAUCCUGAGAGAUCUAAAUUCUUCCUGCUUGAGCUCCAUCAUUCCUUCAUUGAUAUGUCGCGCUCUAAAGUCUCUGCAAAAUUCCAACCAAGUGACAGGAGGAGCAUUGUUGGGACGAGCAGCUUGAUAUGACUCCCACCAUGUCUGCGCUGCUCCCUGAAGUUGACCAGAAGCAUACAACACCUUCUCUAAGUCAUUGCACUGUGCUAUGUUUAGUUGCCUCUCCACAGCACGUAACCAAUCAUCCGCCUCCAUGGGAUCCGCUGAGUGUGUAAAUACCGGAGGUUUCCCUUCAUGAAUUCCCCCCGCUUAUCUCUCACAUGAACAGGUGGUGGUGUUGGUGGAGGUUGUUGUUGUAGGUGUUGCAUGAAGACGUGCAUCAUCUGAUUCUGAGUUUGCAUAAGUUCCUCCACAGUAAUUGGGGCAUUGUCACCAUUGCCACGGCCUCUACCUCUGCCUCUUCCCCUUGCUGCCAUCUGCAUUCCAAGGUAUAUAAACACAUCUUUGUAAUGUCCAACAUGACAAUUACAAGAGUUAACCGAAUCUGAAAUUUUCUGGGUAAUAUCCAACAUCAGCAGAUCAGAAAAUCAGUAAUAUCUCGAGUUCCAGAAUUCAAAAGGAUACAUGCUGUACACCGUUGGAAAGAUAAAGAAAUUGUCUACAACUUUCAUUUAGAUCAUAUUACCAGAUUCCAACGUGAGGUUAACCAAAAACUGGGUACAACCGAAACUGUUCCAGAAUUCCAGACUGCGCAGAAACCUCAACUUUAAACAGUUAUCACUCACAGUUCAUAACAGAUAAUAAUGUCAUUCUUGAGGCAUUGGAAAGAUAUGGAAGUCCACUUGUUUCCAGAAAAAUUUGAUGAACAUUGCACAAACAGAUUUUGAGAUGUACCAGAUUCUUUGCGGACUGCUCCAGAAAACAGCAAAGGACGGAAACAGAAUCUUACCCAAACCCAACUAUUUAAUUCAUUAAUCCUUAUGCCUUAAGCCUAUAAACUAAAUGAAAUUGUAGAGGAAAUCCACAAGAUCAUUGCACUCAUUACAAAGAUCCAAAUCAAGCAUAAGCAUAAUAACAAACCAAACCAAGCAUCAAAGGUUCACAUUUCAAGCAUUAACUCAACUUGCGGUACUAUCGUUCUCUUCCUAUUAAGGGCAAAGAUUCCUAAAAUUCUCUUUCAACUAUGUAAGCAGGUGGUAAGAGAAGGUUCUAAAAGCAUAUUCAAAGCAAGGAGUGGGGAUGAGAACAAGUCUUUAAGAUAAGCAACAAGGUGAAGAUGAAUAGGAUAUAGUGUAGAAGAAAAUAUCAAGGUUUAUAGAACAAGGAUUUUAUAGCAAUUUCAAAACCUUAUGACGGCCAAUUUCUAACUAGGCUUGCGUCCGACAGUCAACAAAGCUUUGAUACCAAUUUGUCACACCCAUAUUUUAAGAACAAAAUAGGAUGCAUAAAAGACUCAUAUGUGCCCCAGGAAUAGUCGCACACAUAAGUAGACAAAUCUCAAAUGUACCAUUGCAGUGUUUAUUACAUAGCGAAAUAUAUAUUGAAUCACAUAGUCUCAUACAAAAAUGAUAGCAUAAAGUAAACAACGCUCUCGACGGAAGCUCCACACAGGGACACUGUUGACUGGUUGACUCCAAACCUAGUACUCAUAACGGUAAUCUUCAUUCCAGUCAUCUUCAUUAUCAUAUCCUGAGGUGUUGGGAAAUUGCAAGGGUGAGCACAUAUCGUACUCAACAAGUAUAACCAGGGGUUCAUGAGGCUCAAUUAGCUGACACUGGUUUGACUGCAUUUAGCUUUUAAUAGUGGAUAGCAUGUUCAUAAUUAAAUAGCAAUUGUCAAGGAAGCAUAAAUAAUCCAUUAAUCCCAUGAUCAAGUGUAAGCAUAAUUAACCUCAUAGCAUAAACGAUAAUCAAAUGAACAUAAUAACAUAACAAGCUCAUCAUCUUAAUGUAGAUGUCCCCAAGGCCGCUCCUGACCGUGAGCUCGGCUAGUAUACCAGUUUUACACUCUGCAGAGGUUGUACAUCUUUACCCAUGAGUCAUGAUUUACCCUUUCGCCCGAGGUAGCUAAUCUCUUAACCCCCUUCCUAGGGAGGUCGGCAGGGAUCACUAUGAAGCCUUUCAAAAGUUCGUCUAACAAGUUAGGGCCGCAAGGUUUCCUUUGCGCGCAGAUAUAGAGCCCCCCUUCCGAUGGCACAAUGACUCGCAGCCUAUACUCAUGCAGACAGAGGCCACACUAUACCCAAAACGGUUCAGCCCCUCCGCCCUUUCGGGUAACCGCUAACAAGCUAGAAAAGGGCUUCAUACUGAGCUAAAGCCAGAGCCAUAAUAGCCCUCAUGGUUGCACUGUUAUCCCGGGUGAUCACGUACAGACAAGAUCUCAUACAGUUAUUUGUCAUUCUUUUAUGUUCAUUGCAUAGCUAUUAAUCAUCUUACAAGAUCAUGGAUUAUAUCAAGCACUAGCACAUCUACACCAAAUGCAUAUCAAGUAGGUAGCAAGGAAUACAGGUAACAAUUGUCUAUGAUUUUGCUAAGGUCGACAAGGUGAUAGCAUGCAUAUGAUAUAUAUGUGUACUUAAGUGAAUAGGUAACAAGGAUGAUCCCAAGUUAUACUUGCCUUGCUCAAAGCUCUCCUGAGCCUGCUGGUCUUCAAAAGCUAGGUCUUGAUCACCAACGUACAGCUCACCGUCUAUUCCCAAACAUCAAUCAACAACACGCAAUCCAAUGGAGACAAUCAUACACAAAGCAAACAAGGUAUAAUUAGAACAUUACACCAAACAGUGGUAAAACAAAUAUAAAAGUUUAUCAAAAUAUUCUACGCAGCUCUACGAUCACACAAACGUAAAGUUCACGAAAAUCGGAAUUAAAACGUGAAAGAUAUGAAUUUUCUAAGAUUUCCUAUAGAGAAAUAAUUAAUUAAAUGCUACUGUAGAAUUAAAAAGUUUCAAAACAGUAAACUAAUAUUUCUAACAUGUAGAGCAUACAAUUACGAACCUGACGCAAUUUGAAUGGAUAAAAACGGAGUUAAAACGAAUAUUUUAUGAGCAAAACAAAAUCAGUGGCAAUCUUGUAAAUAGCAGAAAAAGCAUUUUUUUUCAACCGGCCGUCACCAGCUCCGGUGCGGUGGCUCCAUUGCCGGCCGGAAGGAGCUCGCCGGCGACGACGGACUUCUCGAUUCCGAGCACCGUUUCGCGAAAGGAAAACACCGGGAUGAAGAGGAGCUCACCACGAUCUCGUCUAAGCGCUUGGUUGGGUCCGAGAGAGAACGGAGACGCGCGCACCACGGAGAAGGACAAGGUCGGCCCCGGUGAGAUCCAACCAAGCUUCACUGGGGCGUCUAGGGCUUGCUUUUUGCGACUUCGAUGCAAACAGAGGCUACGGCUUUGGAGGGGAAACUUUAUAGGACGUUGGUUGGCGAAAAAGGCAAGGAGAUCCCGCUGCUUUCGCGAUUGGAAACGGCUGCACAGAGCCCACGUCGAACACGGCGGGAGGUAGGGGAAAGGGGCGCGGCUGACGGGUGGGCCCCGGCCGUCAGCGGGCCAUGGAGGGGGAAACGGGUGAGCGCGCACGCGGCCUGGCCGCUGGACCUUUCUCGGGCCGAGAGCGGAAGUGGGCCGGGGUGAGGGGGUGAACUGGCUGGGCGCUGGCUUUCUGUUUUUUUUUCUUUUCUGUUUUCUUUUUCCUAUUUCUCCUUUGUUUUCUAAAGUCUUUUUGAUAAG
This 5636-nucleotide long non-coding RNA is filed under the name Sorghum bicolor (sorghum). RNAcentral's name for it is "long non-coding RNA (SBIC_LNC009355)". Lineage: Eukaryota; Viridiplantae; Streptophyta; Magnoliopsida; Poales; Poaceae. The record is from RNAcentral.